Small nuclear RNA from Tupaia belangeri (northern tree shrew), 173 nucleotides. Its record names the gene U2. It matches the Rfam family "U2 spliceosomal RNA". From Rfam's summary of the family: U2 is a small nuclear RNA (snRNA) component of the spliceosome (involved in pre-mRNA splicing). Complementary binding between U2 snRNA (in an area lying towards the 5' end but 3' to hairpin I) and the branchpoint sequence (BPS) of the intron results the bulging out of an unpaired adenosine, on the BPS, which initiates a nucleophilic attack at the intronic 5' splice site, thus starting the first of two transesterification reactions that mediate splicing. Lineage: Eukaryota; Metazoa; Chordata; Mammalia; Scandentia; Tupaiidae. The record is from Ensembl.
AUCACUUCUCGGCCUCAAGUGUAGUAUCUGUUCUUAUCAGUUUACUAUCUGAUACACCGUCUACCUAGGACAACAUAUUAAAUAGAUGUUUUAAAACAGGAUUAAACAGGAGCUCGUUCCAUCCACUCUACACAUAGACCUGGUAUUGCAGUAGCUCCAGGAAUAAACAUCAU